RNAcentral lists this ribosomal RNA (1162 nucleotides) under Bacillus sp. DV9-10. RNAcentral describes it as "bacterial SSU rRNA". It matches the Rfam family "Bacterial small subunit ribosomal RNA", at positions 141 to 1288 of the family's 1533-position model. Lineage: Bacteria; Bacillati; Bacillota; Bacilli; Caryophanales; Bacillaceae. The record is from RNAcentral.
GGAUAACUCCGGGAAACCGGGGCUAAUACCGGAUGCUUGAUUGAACCGCAUGGUUCAAUCAUAAAAGGUGGCUUUUAGCUACCACUUACAGAUGGACCCGCGGCGCAUUAGCUAGUUGGUGAGGUAACGGCUCACCAAGGCGACGAUGCGUAGCCGACCUGAGAGGGUGAUCGGCCACACUGGGACUGAGACACGGCCCAGACUCCUACGGGAGGCAGCAGUAGGGAAUCUUCCGCAAUGGACGAAAGUCUGACGGAGCAACGCCGCGUGAGUGAUGAAGGUUUUCGGAUCGUAAAACUCUGUUGUUAGGGAAGAACAAGUACCGUUCGAAUAGGGCGGCACCUUGACGGUACCUAACCAGAAAGCCACGGCUAACUACGUGCCAGCAGCCGCGGUAAUACGUAGGUGGCAAGCGUUGUCCGGAAUUAUUGGGCGUAAAGCGCGCGCAGGCGGUUUCUUAAGUCUGAUGUGAAAGCCCCCGGCUCAACCGGGGAGGGUCAUUGGAAACUGGGGAACUUGAGUGCAGAAGAGGAGAGUGGAAUUCCACGUGUAGCGGUGAAAUGCGUAGAGAUGUGGAGGAACACCAGUGGCGAAGGCGACUCUCUGGUCUGUAACUGACGCUGAGGCGCGAAAGCGUGGGGAGCGAACAGGAUUAGAUACCCUGGUAGUCCACGCCGUAAACGAUGAGUGCUAAGUGUUAGAGGGUUUCCGCCCUUUAGUGCUGCAGCAAACGCAUUAAGCACUCCGCCUGGGGAGUACGGUCGCAAGACUGAAACUCAAAGGAAUUGACGGGGGCCCGCACAAGCGGUGGAGCAUGUGGUUUAAUUCGAAGCAACGCGAAGAACCUUACCAGGUCUUGACAUCCUCUGACAACCCUAGAGAUAGGGCUUCCCCUUCGGGGGCAGAGUGACAGGUGGUGCAUGGUUGUCGUCAGCUCGUGUCGUGAGAUGUUGGGUUAAGUCCCGCAACGAGCGCAACCCUUGAUCUUAGUUGCCAGCAUUCAGUUGGGCACUCUAAGGUGACUGCCGGUGACAAACCGGAGGAAGGUGGGGAUGACGUCAAAUCAUCAUGCCCCUUAUGACCUGGGCUACACACGUGCUACAAUGGGCAGAACAAAGGGCAGCGAAGCCGCGAGGCUAAGCCAAUCCCACAAAUCUGUUCU